UCUUCACUGGUCCUUAUUAUCUCACCUUUGUGUCUGCCUUCAGGCACCGCACUCUGGGAGUACAGACCACGGCAACAGCUUGUGCUUGGAACAGCGCCAGGAAUAUGUAAGCAGCGUAAGCCAAUGCUCUGGUUGAAGACACUGCUUGACAUCAUGUUUUUCCAUGUCCUGUUUUCUCCCAUGGCCAACAAAAAGAAAAGCUUCUUUUGGUGCAGGCCCAAGACCACCAUGAUCAUCCUUGAUUUCACAUCUCCGCCCCCAGGUCUCUAAGUAAAAUCUCUCUCCUUUCACUCACA
This is a long non-coding RNA of Ailuropoda melanoleuca (giant panda), 296 nucleotides long. RefSeq lists it as uncharacterized. The record is from RefSeq and is a predicted model, not a curated record. NCBI's taxonomy places the organism in Eukaryota, Metazoa, Chordata, Mammalia, Carnivora, Ursidae. The transcript has 2 exons.